AUACGGAGGGUCCAAGCGUUAUCCGGAAUCAUGGGGUUUAAAGGGUCCGCAGGCGGUCAGUUAAGUCAGAGGUGGAAGCCCAUCGCUCAACGAUGGAACUGCCUUUGAUACUGGUUGACUUGAGUUAUACGGAAGUAGAUAGAAUAAGUAGUGUAGCGGUGAAAUGCAUAGAUAUUACUUAGAAUACCGAUUGCGAAGGCAGUCUACUACGUAUAUACUGACGCUGAGGGACGAAAGCGUGGGGAGCGAACAGGAUUAGAAACCCUAGUAGUCC
RNAcentral lists this ribosomal RNA (274 nucleotides) under uncultured bacterium. Its description in RNAcentral is "partial 16S ribosomal RNA". It matches the Rfam family "Bacterial small subunit ribosomal RNA", at positions 523 to 796 of the family's 1533-position model. The record is from RNAcentral.